This 253-nucleotide ribosomal RNA is filed under the name uncultured Burkholderia sp. RNAcentral describes it as "partial 16S ribosomal RNA". It matches the Rfam family "Bacterial small subunit ribosomal RNA", at positions 524 to 776 of the family's 1533-position model. Lineage: Bacteria; Pseudomonadati; Pseudomonadota; Betaproteobacteria; Burkholderiales; Burkholderiaceae. The record is from RNAcentral.
UACGUAGGGUGCGAGCGUUAAUCGGAAUUACUGGGCGUAAAGCGUGCGCAGGCGGUUUGCUAAGACCGAUGUGAAAUCCCCGGGCUCAACCUGGGAACUGCAUUGGUGACCGGCAGGCUAGAGUAUGGCAGAGGGGGGUAGAAUUCCACGUGUAGCAGUGAAAUGCGUAGAGAUGUGGAGGAAUACCGAUGGCGAAGGCAGCCCCCUGGGCCAAUACUGACGCUCAUGCACGAAAGCGUGGGGAGCAAACAGG